This 253-nucleotide ribosomal RNA is filed under the name uncultured bacterium. RNAcentral's name for it is "partial 16S ribosomal RNA". It matches the Rfam family "Bacterial small subunit ribosomal RNA", at positions 524 to 776 of the family's 1533-position model. The record is from RNAcentral.
CACGUAGGGCGCAAGCGUUGUCCGGAAUUAUUGGGCGUAAAGAGCUCGUAGGCGGUCUGUUGCGUCCGCUGUGAAAACUCGGGGCUUAACCCCGAGCCUGCAGUGGAUACGGGCAGACUAGAGGUAGGUAGGGGAGAAUGGAAUUCCUGGUGUAGCGGUGAAAUGCGCAGAUAUCAGGAGGAACACCGGUGGCGAAGGCGGAUCUCUGGGCCAUUACUGACGCUGAGGAGCGAAAGCCAGGGGAGCGAACGGG